This 739-nucleotide ribosomal RNA is filed under the name uncultured Leuconostoc sp. RNAcentral describes it as "bacterial SSU rRNA". It matches the Rfam family "Bacterial small subunit ribosomal RNA", at positions 8 to 729 of the family's 1533-position model. The record is from RNAcentral. Lineage: Bacteria; Bacillati; Bacillota; Bacilli; Lactobacillales; Lactobacillaceae.
AGAGUUUGAUCAUGGCUCAGGAUGAACGCUGGCGGCGUGCCUAAUACAUGCAAGUCGAACGCGCAGCGAAAGGUGCUUGCACCUUUCAAGCGAGUGGCGAACGGGUGAGUAACACGUGGAUAACCUGCCUCAAGGCUGGGGAUAACAUUUGGAAACAGAUGCUAAUACCGAAUAAAACUUAGUAUCGCAUGAUACAAAGUUGAAAGGCGCUACGGCGUCACCUAGAGAUGGGUCCGCGGUGCAUUAGUUAGUUGGUGGGGUAAAGGCCUACCAAGACAAUGAUGCAUAGCCGAGUUGAGAGACUGAUCGGCCACAUUGGGACUGAGACACGGCCCAAACUCCUACGGGAGGCUGCAGUAGGGAAUCUUCCACAAUAGGCGAAAGCCUGAUGGAGCAACGCCGCGUGUGUGAUGAAGGCUUUAGGGUCGUAAAGCACUGUUGUAUGGGAAGAAAUGCUAGAAUAGGGAAUGAUUCUAGUUCGACGGUACCAUACCAGAAAGGGACGGCUAAAUACGUGCCAGCAGCCGCGGUAAUACGUAUGUCCCGAGCGUUAUCCGGAUUUAUUGGGCGUAAAGCGAGCGCAGACGGUUGAUUAAGUCUGAUGUGAAAGCCCGGAGCUCAACUCCGGAAUGGCAUUGGAAACUGGUUAACUUGAGUGUUGUAGAGGUAAGUGGAACUCCAUGUGUAGCGGUGGAAUGCGUAGAUAUAUGGAAGAACACCAGUGGCGAAGGCGGCUUAC